CAGAGGAAGUAACGACCAAAGAGUGUGGGAGUGUCUGGUUCCAGCAGAUUUCGUACCACCUCAAGUCAAUCCAAUCAACCCUAAUCCAGGUGCUGAGGCUGAACUGAACCAGCUCACAGAUGCAGCUUUUGUGGAUAAGCACAUGGCUGAUCUCAUUCAGAGGGUCAAGAUGGUGCAACAUGUAGCAGAUGACCUCGUUAUGGAGGAAGUGAUCCAAGAUGAAUUGUAUUCAAGAAUCUGCAGUGCUGAUAACACUGAGAAACAAAUAAGACUAAUGUUUGAUGCUGUACAAGCAGGAGGAACAAGAGUGAAAUCUGCCUUCUACAAAGCUCUCCAAAACCAUGAACCUCGUCUUGUCCAGGACCUGGCAGCAGAUUCCCACUGAUGAAUGGGAUGGCUUGGGUUGGUCCUCGACCGCUGGACAAAGGGCAGCAAGUGGGCCCUCUUCAGGAGCAGGAUAUGAGAAUACUACAGUCAUUAUGCUCCUAAUCCGCAUUGGAGUGUUGGGAGACAUGACAGCAGAAAGUCUAUGAUGAUUAAAACUUAAAACUGUUAUAGUCUUGGUUAACCUGGAGAAAUCCAGUGUGUUUGUGCUAACAUUCCACUCCUUGUCAUGCCAAACAGUCUGGCUGUAUCGCAUGACAAGAAUCAUUCGUCACGUGCACAGGAUACACUGUGUGAGUGUGUAAAUUAAUGAAUAUGAGUGUGCGUGAGUGUGUGUGUGUGGGAAUGUUUGGAGUGGUGUGCAUAGACAGCCAGUGAUUGCAGGUAGACAGUCAUUGAUAAGCAGUUCAGCAGUCUUAAUGCUUCAGAGCUCGCCCCCAGUGAUGGACUGUGUAGUCUUCCCACCCUCUGUAAAGCCUUGUGGUGGAGGGCGGUGCAGCUGCCGUACCAGGUGGUGAUACAGUAGAAGCUUGUGAGGAUCUGAAGGGCUAUGCCAAGUUUCUUUCAGCCGCCUGAGGAAGAACAGGUUCUUGUGGUGGUUCACUGGUGUGCCUUCUUGAUAAAUGCACCAAGGAGAGGCAAGGAGUGGAAUGUUAUCACAAACACACCAGAUUUCUUCAGGCUAGUAAUGUGUCCUAGUGUUUACAAUCAUUCUUAACCAUGUUCAUUUUUAAAUGUAU
Coregonus clupeaformis (lake whitefish) is the source of this 1124-nucleotide long non-coding RNA. RefSeq lists it as uncharacterized. The record is from RefSeq and is a predicted model, not a curated record. Lineage: Eukaryota; Metazoa; Chordata; Actinopteri; Salmoniformes; Salmonidae. The transcript is spliced from 4 exons.